UGCCCGUUGCCCGGGGACAACCGGUGGAAACGCCGACUAAUCCCCGAUGGGAUACGAUGCUUCAUGGCAUUGUAUUGAAAGUUACGGCGGCGACGGAUUGGCUCGCGUCCGAUUAGCUGGUUGGCGGGGUAACGGCCCACCAAGGCUACGAUCGGUAGGGGUUCUGAGAGGAAGGCCCCCCACAAUGGGACUGAGACACGGCCCAUACUCCUACGGGAGGCAGCAGUGAGGAAUAUUGGUCAAUGGGCGGAAGCCUGAACCAGCCAUGCCGCGUGCGGGAAGGAGGCCCUAUGGGCUGUGAACCGCUUUUGCCUGGGGGCAAUAAGGGCGUCGCGCACGUCCGAUGAGAGUACCAGGCGAAUAAGCAUCGGCUAACUCCGUGCCAGCAGCCGCGGUAAUACGGGGGAUGCGAGCGUUAUCCGGAUUCAUUGGGUUUAAAGGGUGCGUAGGCUGUGCGUCAAGUCGGGGGUGAAAUUCCGGUGCUCAACACCGGGGCUGCCCUUGAUACUGUCGCGCUGGAGUGCGGAUGCCGCCGGAGGAAUGAGUGGUGUAGCGGUGAAAUGCUUAGAUAUCACUCAGAACACCGAUUGCGAAGGCAUCUGGCGAAUCCGUAACUGACGCUGAGGCACGAAAGCGUGGGGAUAGAACAGGAUUAGAUACCCUGGUAUUCCACGCCGUAAACGAUGAUGGCUAACCGCCGGCGACACACUGUCAGUGGCCAAG
Molecule: ribosomal RNA, 723 nt
Filed under: uncultured bacterium
Lineage: Bacteria
Description: bacterial SSU rRNA
Rfam family: Bacterial small subunit ribosomal RNA
Source: RNAcentral